ACUGCUCAGUAACACGUGGUCAAUCUACCGCGAAGUGGCGAAUACCCUCGGGAAACUGAGGUUAAAACGCCAUAGGCUACGGCACCUGGAAGGAGCUGUAGCCCAAAGGUGUGCAAAUUGUAGCACUUUCGCUUCGCGAUGAGACUGCGGCGGAUCAGGCAGAUGGCGGGGUAACGGCCCACCAUACCGAUAACCUGUAGGGGAUGUGAGAGCAUAGGCCCCGAGAAGGGCACUGAGACAAGGGCCCUAGUGCUACGGCAUGCAGCAGGCGCGCAAACUCCACACUGCACGUAAGUGUGAUGGGGGGAAUCUGAGCGGUUCACUUCGGUGAACCUUUUGCCAAGUGUAACACGCUUGGCGAAUAAGUGCCGGGCAAGACCGGUGGCAGCCGCCACGGUAAUACCGGCGGCACAAGUGGUGUCCACGAUUAUUGGGCUUAAAGCGCUCGUAGCUGGCCAGAACCGUCUGAUGUGAAAUAUUGGUGCUCAACACCAAUGCGUGCAUCAGAUACCUUCUGGCUAGGGAGUGGGUGAGGUAAGGAGUACUUAUGGGGAAGGGGUAAAAUCCUAUAAUCCUGUAAGGACUAACGGUGGCGAAGGCGCCUUACUAGAACACAUCCGACAGUGAGGAGCGAAGGCUAGGAGAACGAAUCGGAUUAGAUACCCGAGUAGCCCUAGCAGUAAAUUAUGCAGACUCUGAUGUUGCAAAUAUCUUGGAUGUUUGCAGUACCGUAGAGUAAUUGUUAAGUCUGCCGCCUGGGGAGUACGGCCGCAAGGUUGAAACUUAAAGGAAUUGGCGGGGGAGCAC
Molecule: ribosomal RNA, 807 nt
Filed under: uncultured archaeon
Lineage: Archaea
Description: bacterial SSU rRNA
Rfam family: Archaeal small subunit ribosomal RNA
Source: RNAcentral